GUAUUGGCGCUUAAUAUUACCAUCUUCUUCGCUCUUCCACACUUCACUCGUCCGUCCACCGGAGAGACUAGUCUCUUUAACUCUGCUCCUCGGAGACCCAAUCAGCCCUAUACACUCGCAAUCAUCUCUAUAAUCCAAAGAAAUUAACAAGAUCGUUGUAAGUUUUCAUUCUUCUCCCUUUCGUUCAUUCUCCGAUCAUCCCGCUGCUCUCCAAACACCGUCGGAGACAUGUUAGAGGGUUUUACUUGGAGGGGACAUCUUUCACACCGCCGUAUCUCCUUUUCUUCUAGCGACACCAGUGUUUUCUCUUUCUUUCAUUCUAGGGCGUUCAAGAAUCCUCUGCCUUUCCUUCUUCGUCUCUUAGUUAUAUGACGUCUGGUUGCGAUGUAAUUUUGGUCCACCAUCAUCGCUUGAAGGAUCAAACACUAUGCCCAUGGAUCUUCUUGAACUUUAUUAGAGGUCACUCAAUCGAAAUUAGAGCAUCCAUCAGACGGAGAUGAUUGGUCAAGAAAGUUGUGAUGUGUUGAUUCUAGAGAUUGAAUCUUAAUCAAAUGAGGAUACUUCCAAUAGGCGAUGUGAUUUUUUUGUGGGCCUGUUUAUAUCAUUGCCUCUCCUUCUAUUUAUGAAGGUGACAGAUCUUCUGCUGCAUCUCCAUUGAAGUUAGUUCCUGACAUUGGUAAUUUUGUGUCUACAUGUCUGUAUUAUACUUUCUUCACUGAAAUUGUAUAACAUCUCUGUCCUUUUAUAUGAUGUUACGCUUACCCUGGUAUGUCCCCCAUUAAUUAUACUGGUAUGUCUUCCAUCAGCAACUGGGGUUAAUACGGUUGUAUCAUUUUCAAAACUUUAAUACAAUUUACUGCAACUUCAAAUCCUUUUUUGUUGAUUCAUUAGUUAAUGUUUGACUUAAACAUCUCCAAUAACAUGAGCUUCUUUGAUUUGAGUUCAUAUUUUAUGGUUCCUGCCUUUUUGAUUACUGAUUUAUUUGUCAUAUGAAUUUAGGGAAAUAACAACCAUCACCUUUCAUUUUGUUCAGCAAAACUUGAUGGUAGAUCUGUUAUACAAGUGAACACGAAAGGUGCUUUCCCAUGGAAACCUGAUUGGCACACAUCACAUAUAUGAAAGGACAACAUGGAAUUGUUGGAUGACAUGGCAGAAUUGAGACAUAUUGUGUAAUUAUAUAACAAAGUAUAUUAUGGUAAAGUCAUCUCAUUUGAUGGUCUGAGAGAAACUAGAGCAAUACUGUAGCAGUCAAGAGCAACCAGAAAUCUGGAAGAAGAUAAAAAAAGAAGCUAAAUGAACAAAUAUUUACAAUGAUGCCAUGGUAAGAAACCAAAUUGUACUUUGCCUAUUACUUAAUAUUAACAUACAUGCAAAAUGUCUAAUAGGGAAUAAGUCUUUCCAUAUUGCCUCAUAAAUUUGAAUGCUAUUUAGAUACUAAGGUAAAAACUUCCAUUAAAAGAUUAUAUUGUCAAAAUCAAACCUAUUAACACAUUGUAAUUUUAUUAUUUUUCUUAUUAGGUCACUGUACUUUGAAAAACUGAACGUGUUUGGUUUUGGUUACGAGUUAUAUCUUUAAAACUUCUAAGUUUUUAUUAUUAAAACACUGUACUUUCAAAACUUAUUCCAAUUCUUUUGACAAAUUCCAUUCAUUUCAAAAAUAUAUUGUGAACCACAAGUUCCCUUACAUUACUCUGAGAUGUAAUGUCAUUCUCAAUCCAAUUCUUUUAACAAGUUCCAUUUAUUACUCUGCAACAAGAAAAGGUUUUGGAAAACAGAUAAAGAAGAUCCCCCCAAGAAUCAAAGUGUUAACAUGUAAUUUUUAUUUUUUACCCUUAACACUGUCAAAUACUUCAUGCUUUUUAUGUUCUUUUUUAGUUACUCUGAUAAUAUUUAAAGGAUGUUGUGUUGGGUGAUUAUGCCUUCAUGGAAAUGAUAUGCUGGUGUACAGGUAGCUACAGCUAUGAGUCUAUGACCCUGUUUGUGUUAUUCCAGAAUUACCCCUCUGCUCCUAAAACUUGUGGUCAUUUAUUAAAUCAAUCAAAAAAGAUUCUGAAUAUUGCAUUUAGUUCGCUUGGUAAUUCUUUACAAAAGAUAUUUUGUUAUUUAGGCAAUUCUUUUAUUUGUUUAAAAAUGUACUUUUAUUUAGCAAAUUGGGACAUCACUCUACAGGGAAGGGAAAUGCCACAUGGUGUGGUCUUUGUUGGGUUGAAAUGUUAACAACAAGUGGUCAAUAGAAAGAGAUAGAUGCUCUUUGACUGCACACAUAGUAGCAACAACAUCCGAACAGGGGACAUAAAUUUCUAUUUCAGAAGCAACCAAGGUAAAUAAAAAAUUAUGGCUUCAAGCUUUGAAUGAAUUAGGGCAUAAACACCUUCACUUAACCUUCCAAAAAGUAAAGAUGACAUUUGAAGUGAGUGGUAAGUACACAUCGGUUUUUCCAAGUUACCCUUUUUAAGGUAAAAAAACUGUCUUUAUUCUCUUUUGCUACCCAAAAACACCACAAUAUCAAAAUCUUCAACAUUUAGUUCAAAAAUGAGAAUUGUAGCAACGAAAUUUUGUUUGAUAAGUAUGAAGAUGAUGACAAAUUUCUAAGGGUUUCUUGUAGUCAGGCAUUAAAAAGAUUGUUCUUUGUUAUAAUUUGAGUCUUAUUGAGCGUAGUGCUUUAUUUAUCUUUGUCAUGUCUGGGGUGUUUAUCUAACCUAUUAAGACAUUGUAUUGGAAGUAUGAAUAGUUGUACCAAGUGCAUAAGAACAUGCAUCAGGUAUUUGAUACAUUGUACUUUCAAAAUCUAACCUAUUAGAACCUAUUAGAAUAUGCUUUUAAUAUGCUUUACUAUUUAAGAUAUUGUAAUCUAAAUUGGUUUUACUUUUAUUUUCUAAUUAAAACUUUAUACUUUUAAAACCAUAUGCAACAUUAUUUUUUUCUAUUUUUAAUUUUAUUCAUUCAAAGUCCAACUUCUUAAGGUUACAAAUAAGAGGUCAAUCUAAGAGAUGCAUAGGUUGUAUAAAAUUUUCUAUUUAGAGGUUCACAACAUUGAUUACAUGUUAUAAUGCUUUCUUAUUAAGUAACAGAUCAUCUCCAUUGAAGUUAGUUCCUGACAUUGGCACCUUACAAUUUUCUAAACCUUAAUUCAAUUUAGUGCAACUUCAAAUCCUUUUGUUGAUUCUCAAGUUAGUGUUUGACUUAAACAUCUCUAAUAACAUGAGCUUCUUUGAUUUGAGUUCAUAUUUUAUGAUUUCUGCUAUUUUGAUUACUGAUUUAUUUGCCAUAUGAAUUGCUGUUUUUUAUGGAAAUGAUAACCAUCGCCCAUUUUGUCCACCAAAACUAGAUAAUCUGUUAUACAAGUGAACACAAAAGGUGCUUUCUAAUGGAAACCUGAUUGGAAAACAUCACAUAUAUGCUCUUUCCAAAUUAAUUUGAUGAUACUGAUUCUUCGGGUCUCUCGUCAUUACUGGAUUCAUCAUGUUGUUGGGUUGUGCCAUUAUGCAGUGUAUUUCUAUGACGUCUGGUUGCGAUGUAGUUUUGGUCCACCAUCGAUCAACAAAAAAGAGUACAAUCUUUCUCAUCUGAUCUCCAGGUAGCGUGUUUUAGUUUAUGGUAACUUUUUUAUGUCAUGAAACUGUUUUUUUCUAAGCAUGCAUCAUCAUCGCUUGAAGGAUCAAACACUAUGCCCAUGUAUCUUCUUGAACUAUAUCAAAGGUAAAUUAAUGACAUAAGUAUACCUGAUUGUUGCCUUAAAUCUUAAUUAACACAUACGGCGACUCUAGGUUUCUUUCACUUUAUCCUCCAUUUUUUUUGUUGGUCUUUUGAAUUAGGUCACCCAAUCGAAACUAGAGCAUCCAUCAGAUGGAGAUGAUUGGUCAAGAAAAUCUGAUGUGCCGUCAGUAAAACUUAAAUAGUUUUGAAACCCAUAAAAGUAUUGUUUAGUUGUAGAUUGUUCUUCUGUGCACUUUAGGUGUUUGAUGAAAUGUCAACUAAGUUAAAGAGUUGUUUUGUUUUGUUCUGAGGGUGAAAUUAUGUAGAGAGAAGUAAAUAAUCACAAGCAAAAUUAAAACAUUAAACAAUUUAUUGAGCUAUUAGAAAUUCAAUUAGGGAAAGAUAAUUUAUUGUUUGUAUUUUCAAUUCAGUUAGAAAUAGAAGUGUAAUUUGAAUGUUUGAAACAACUUUUGAUUUUCAUUGCUACAGAAAUAUUAGGACUUAUGUUUGUAAUUUCUUACUUCAGGAUUCUAGAGAUAGAAUCUUAAUCAAAUGAGGAUACUUUUAAGAGGUGAUGUGAUUUUUUUGUAGGCCUGUUUAUAUCAUCUCCUGUCCUCCUAUUUCUGAGUUAGGUCAAAACAAUGUCUCCUAAUAUUUUUGUUCAUUGAAAAAACUUUGGCUUUGUUGUUUAACUUUUGAAUUGAAAUUGGUAUUUUGAAUAUAAGGUUACAAAGAAGAGGUCCAUCAAAAAGAGAUGCAUAGGUUGUAUAAAAUUUUCUAUUUAGAGGUUCACAACAUUGAUUACAUGUCAUAAUGCAUUCCUAUUAAUUAAGUAACAGAUGUUCCCUUUUGGUGACAGAUCUUCUGCUGCAUCUCCAUUGAAGUUAGUUCCUGACAUUGGUAAUUUUGUGUCUACAUGUCUGUAUUAUACUUUCUUCACUGAAAUUGUAUAACAUUGCAACAGGGAUCCUGUAUUGGACUAUAUAUACAUACAUACAUACAUACAUCUCUGUUCUUUUAUAUGAUGUCACCCUUACCCUGGUUUGUCCUCCAUUAAUUAUACUGGUAAUGCCUUCUUUUCCAACAGCAACUGGGGUUAAUAAGGUUGUGUCAUUUUCAAAACUUUAAUACAAUUUAGUGCAACUUCAAAUCCUUUUGUUGAUUCACAAGACUUUAACAUCUCUAAUAACAUGAGCUUCUUUGAUUUGAGUUCAUAUUUUAUGAUUUCUGCCAUUUUGAUUACUGAUUUAUUUGCCAUAUGCAUUGCUGCUUUUUAGGGAAAUGACAACCAUCACCAAAACUAGAUAAUCUGUUAUACAAGUGAACACCAAAGGUGCUUUCCUAUGGAAACCUGAUUCGCACACAUCACAUAUAUGAAAGGACAACUUGAAAUUGUUGGAUGACAUGGCGGAAUUGAUACCUAUUGUGUGAUUAUAUAACAAAGUGUAUUAUGGUGAAGUCAUCUCAUCUGAUGGUCUGAGAGAAACUAGAGCAAUACUAGAGAAGUCAAGAGCAACCAGAAGUCUGGAAGAAAAAAAGAAGAAGCUAAAUGAACAUUUACAAUGAUGCCAUGGUCACCUUGGCCAUCCAGAACCUAUUGAGAAUUGGUGAUGCGAGUCUUGUACUAUAAACAUGAUGAUGUGCUCUCCUUUUUUUUAUCUGCAAAAUGUGAUCUUUUUAUUACAAUUUUUUUAUUUCUUAUUCAUUAAAUCCUACUAAUUUAAGAAUGAUGCUUCUUAUGAUAACAAAUAAACGGCCGAAGGAAGCAACUAAAACUCUAAAGAAAGUUACUUUGGUCUAUGAGUAUGGAAGGUAAAAAGAAAAUUAUGGCUUCAAGUUUUGAAUUAGGGCAUAAACGUCUUCACUUAACCUUGCACAAAGUAAAGAUGACAUUCUACAAGUGGGAUCCUGUAUUGGACUAUAUAUAUACAUACAUUUCUGUCCUUUUAUAUGAUGAUACCCUUACCCUGGUUUGUUCCCCAUUAAUUAUACUGGUAAUGCCAUCUUUUCCAUCAGCAAUUGGCAUUAAUAAGGUUGUAUCAUUUUCAAAACUUUCAUACACUUUAGUGCAACUUCAAAUCCUUUUGUUGAAGUUGUGUUCAUAUUUUAUGAAUUCUGCCAUUUUGAUUACUGAUUUAUUUGCCAUAUGAAUUGCUGCUUUUUAGGGAAAUGACAACCAUCGCUCUUUUUGUCCACCAAAACUAGAUAAUCUGUUAUACAAGUGAACACCAAAGGUGCCUUCCCAUGGAAACCUGAUUGGAAAACAUCACAUAUAUGAAAGGUGUGUGGUUAUUGCACUGAAGUCAUCUCAUCUGAUGGUCUGAGAGAAACUAGGGCAAUGCUGGAGUAGUUAAGAGCAACUAGAAACCAAUGAUGCCAUGCAAAUUGCGACAUCAGGGAAGGGAAAUACCACAUGAUGUGGUCUUUGGUGGGUUGAAAUCUUAACAAGUGGUUAAUAUAAAGAGGAAUCUGUUCUUCCAGCUGUGAUGCUUGGACAAGCAUCUUAUUGUUACCUUUUAGCCAAACCAAUUAUGUUAAGAAAGUAUGGAUUUUUUCUCAUUCUUUCUGGUGGUGAUCUGUAGAAGAAAGAAAUGUCAUCAGAAGAAUAACUUAACUGGAGCAGUUGAGAGCACCUACAAAUCUGGAAGAAAGCUAAAAAUGACUGACCAUUAUAUGAUGCGGAUACCAAGAUCACCAUUGGCUGCACACAUAGUAGCGACAUCGGAACAGGGGACAUAAAUUAGGGUUCAUUCUGCUUCAGAAGCAACCAAGGUCACCUUGGCCAUCCAGAAGCUUUUGAGAAUUGGUGAUGCGAGUCUUGUACUAUAAACAUGAUGAUGUAAACAGAAAAUUAUCGCUUGAAGUUUUGAAUGAAUUAGGGCAUAAACAUCUUCACUUAACCUUCCAAAAAGUAAAGAUGACAUUUGAAGUGAGUGAAUAACUUAACUUGAGCAGUUGAGAGCACCUGCAAAUCUUGAAAAAGGCUAAAUGACUCACCAAUGAUAGGCUAAGAUCUUCUGCUGCAUCUCCAUUGAAGUUAGUUCCUGACAUUGGGAUCCUGUAUUGGACUAAAUAUAUAUACAUACAUCUCUUACCCUUACCCUGGUUUGUCCCCCAUUAAUUAUACUAGUAAUGCCAUCUCUUCCAUCAGCAACUAGGGUUAAUAAGGUUGUAACAUUCUCAAAACUUUGAUACAAUUUAGUGCAACUUCAAAUCCUUUUUUGUUGAUUCACAAGUUUGUGUUUGACUUAAACAUAUUCAAUAACAUGAGCUUGAGUUCAUAUUUUAUGAUUUCUGCCAUUCCAAUUAUUGAUUUAUUUGCCAUAUGAAUUGAUGCUUUUUAGGGAAAUAACAACCAUCACCCUUCUCGUCCACCAAAACUGGAUAAUCUGUUAUACAAGUGAACACAAAAGGCGCUUUCCCUUGGAAAGCUGAUUGGCACACAUCACAUAUAUGAAAGGACAACUUGGAUGACAUGGCAGAAUUGAGACCUAUUGUGUGAUUAAAUAACAAAGUAUAUGAUAUGAUGGGUAUUGAUAAAUUUAUGUAUUUUAGUAAAUUUAGUAAUACUGGAGCAGUCAAGAGCAACCAGAAAUCUGGAAGGAAAAAAGAAGAAGCUAAAUGAACAUUUACAAUGAUGCCAUGGUAAGAAACCAAAUUGUAAAAUGUCUAAUAGGGAAUAAGUCUUUCCAUAUUACCUCGUAAAUUUGAAUGUUGUUUAGAUGCUAAGGUAUAAAAACUUCCAUUAAAAGAUUAUAGUGUCAUUAUCAAACCUAUUGGCACAUUGUAGUUUUAUUAUUUUUCUUAUUAGGUCACUAUACUUUGAAAAACUGAACAUGUUUGGUUUUGGUUACCAAUUAUAGCAUUAUAACUUCUAAGUUUUUAUUAUUAAAUUAUUGUACUUUCAAAAUUUAUUCCAAUUCCUUCCACAAAUUUCAUUCUUCUCAAAAAUACUUGGUGAACCACAAGUUCCCUUACAUUACUCUGUAAUGGGUUGUGAUGCUUAAUUCCAAUUUCAUUAACAAAUUCCAUUCAUUAGUCAGCAACACGAAAAGGUUUUGGAAACCAGAUAAAGAAGAUCCCCCCCAAGAAUCAAAGUGUUAUCAUGUAAUUUUUAAACUUCAUUUGUUUUGUUUUCAGUUAUUAUAUUAUAUUUUUAGUUAUAGCUUUUUACUCUCGUAAUCUAACCUAUUAAGACAUUGUAUUGGAAGUAUGAAAUGAAUAUUUGUACCGACUGCAUAAGAACAUGUACCAGGUAUUUGAUACAUUGUAGUUUUAUCUUUUGUUAUUAAGACAUUAUACUUUUAAAAUCUAACCUAUUAGAAUAUGCUUUUAAUAAUUAACAAAUCCCAUUCAUUACUCUGCAACAAGAAAAGGUUUUGGAAACAAAGUGUUAAGAUGUAAUUUUUACCCUUAACACUAUAAAGUACUUCAUGCUUUUUCUGUUCUUUUUUAGUUACUCUGCUAAUGUUGUGUCUGGUGAUUAUGCCUUGAUGGAAAUGAUAUGCUGGUGUACAGGAAAUGAUGGGAUUAACAUACUUCAUGUUAAAUCAAUCAAAAAAGAUUCUGAAUAUUGCAUUUAGUUCGCCUGGAAUCUCUUCAUCCAGCUGUGAUGCUUCAAUAAGCAUCUUAUUGUGAAGUUUUAGCCAAACCAAUUAUGUUAAGAAAGUAUGGAUUUCGUCUCAUUCUUUCUGGUGGUGAUUUGUACAAGAAAGAAAUGUGAUCAGAUCAUCUCCAUUGAAUUUAGUACAACUUCAAAUCCUUUUGUUGAUUCACAAGUUUGUGUUUGACUUGAACAUCUCCAAUAACAUGAGCUUCUUUGAUUUGAGUUCAUAUUUUAUGAUAUCUGCCUAUUUGAUUACUGAUUUAUUUGCCAUAUGAAUUUAGGGAAAUAACAACCAUCACCCUUUUCGUCCACCAAAACUAGAUAAUCUGUUAUACAAGUGAACACCAAAGGUGCUUUCUAAUAUGGAAACCUAAUUGGAAAACAUCACAUAUAUGCUCUUUCCAAAUCAAUUUUAGAGGAUUUGAUUUACAAUGAUGCCAUGGUAAGAAACCAAAUUGUACUUUGCCUAUUACUUAAUAUUAAUAGGGAAUAAGUCUUUCCAUAUUGCCUCAUAAGUUUGUAUGCGAUAAUCGAAUGCUAUUUAGAUGCUAAGGUGUAAAAACUUACAUUAAAACAUUAUACUUUCAUAAUCAAACCUAUUAUUAACACAUUGUAAUUUUAUUAUUUUUCCUAUUAAGUCACUGUAAUUUGAAAAAAUAAACAUGUUUGGUUUCGAUUACCAAUUAUAGCAUUGUAACUUCUAUGUUUUUAAUAUUAAAACAUUGUGUACUUUCAAAAUUUAUUCCAACUCCUUGGACAAAUAUCAUUCUUAUCAAAAUUAUUAUGUGAACCACAAGUUCCCUUACAUUACUCUGAGAUGAAUUGCUAUGCUUAAUUCCAAUUCCUUUAACAAGUUCCAUCUGUUACUCUGCAACAAGAAAAUGUUUUGGAAACCAGAUAAAGAGCUUAUGGUUGAUAAAAGGAAAAGAAUAUGCGCCUGAGAAUCAAUGUGUUAACAUGUAGUUUUUACCCUUAACUCUAUAAAACACUUGAGAUGCUUUUUAUGGUUCUUAUGUAGUUUUUCUAUUAAUGUUUAAAGAUACACUUUUAGUUCCAUGGAACCCAAAUAAGGGUGUUGUGUUGGGUGAUUAUGCCUUCAUGGAAAUGAUAAGUUGCAAAAAUCAUCUAUAUUUGGUGACCAAAAAUAGCCAAUUUACUUGGACACAGUGUAACGACGUAAAAAUUUAAAACAAUUUUUUCAUUUUUCAAACAACAUAAAAUUAUCAAUAUUCUCAAAUCUAAUGUUCAACAAAUGUCAUCAUGAUAAAAACAUAUCCCAAGAUCAUAAAAUAAUCAUCUGCCAGUGUGUACGGAUCAUGUCGGCACCUUCCCGCGAUCCUCGCUAGUACCUGAAACACAUAACACUUAACACUGUAAGCAUAAAAGCUUGGUGAAUGCAUACGUCACUCAAGGCCAUAGCUCUAUGGGACCUUCCGGCCCAUGUGUCUCAGGGGACUUUCGUCCCAACCCUGGUAGACCUUCUGGUCCUACACAAAAUGACCUUCCGGUCCAUACCCUUUUUGACCUUCCGGUCCAUAACAUACUGCUCAUAACAUAACAUAACACAUACAUAUCACAUAUCAUCUAUCAACAUAUAUCAAAUACUCUUCUUAGCACAUAAGACCUUCCGGUCACACAUAAAUACCACUCUAGGUAACGUAUAGUGAGAAGACUCGCCUCGUAUGCUGUCUAGUAACUCACGUGCUCGGUAUCCCUAAACCUCGUAACAAUGACCUAGCCCCGCCUAAACACAUAAGCAAUCAUCUCAAAUCAAUAACAGCUCUCCAGGCUAGACUAGUCCCUUCCAAUGUCCUCUCAGAAGGCUAAAAAAGUAAUGGUGUUUUACAAUAUAAGUAUGUGAUAUGUAGUAAGGUCGGUGAAGCAUAUAAGAAGAAUGUUGUCACUUUGAAUGGAGAAGAAGGUAAACAAAAAAGAAAACAUCCAAGUCAAAUGAUUUCUUGCGAAGCGAAGACUGGUUUAAUGUUCAUAAAAGAUUUUGAUCGCUUUUUCAUUAAAACAUUUAAUCAAAAACACAACCAUGAGCUCUAUACAAACAGUAUAGUGCACAUGUCAAAGACAAAAAGAAAGUUGGAUCAUUAUGACAAGACAAUUAUAGCUCAGUUAAACACGUCAAAUGCAAGCAAAGCACAUAACAUGGUUACUUUUUAAAGGGUGGAUGUGCUAAACAAGGUGCAAAUAAAAUCGACUACAAGCAUGUUUACGUUCAUAUUUUAGGUUCUUAUUUUGGGUUUAGAUUACAAUAUAUAACCAAAUAGUGGGAUACACGUGUGAUGUGGCUGCAACAAUUUAUUUCAUUUUAAUGAAUAAUUUACAUACGAAGAUCAACUCACUCCGAUGAAUAGUUUCCAUGCAACAUAGUUUCAAUUCACAAACAUGUCAAAUUCCAAAGAAAUACGCAACACAUAGGCAUGAAAAAAAGGUAUAAACUAAAAAAAAUCAAUUUUUUCCACUACUGACAGA
Molecule: non-coding RNA, 10783 nt
Organism: Lactuca sativa (garden lettuce)
Lineage: Eukaryota; Viridiplantae; Streptophyta; Magnoliopsida; Asterales; Asteraceae
Source: RefSeq, a predicted model, not a curated record